AUUGAACGCUGGCGGCAGGCCUAACACAUGCAAGUCGAGCGGAUGAAGGGAGCUUGCUCCUGGAUUCAGCGGCGGACGGGUGAGUAAUGCCUAGGAAUCUGCCUGGUAGUGGGGGAUAACGUCCGGAAACGGGCGCUAAUACCGCAUACGUCCUGAGGGAGAAAGUGGGGGAUCUUCGGACCUCACGCUAUCAGAUGAGCCUAGGUCGGAUUAGCUAGUUGGUGGGGUAAAGGCCUACCAAGGCGACGAUCCGUAACUGGUCUGAGAGGAUGAUCAGUCACACUGGAACUGAGACACGGUCCAGACUCCUACGGGAGGCAGCAGUGGGGAAUAUUGGACAAUGAGCGAAAGCCUGAUCCAGCCAUGCCGCGUGUGUGAAGAAGGUCUUCGGAUUGUAAAGCACUUUAAGUUGGGAGGAAGGGCAGUAAGUUAAUACCUUGCUGUUUUGACGUUACCAACAGAAUAAGCACCGGCUAACUUCAUG
This 484-nucleotide ribosomal RNA is filed under the name uncultured bacterium. Its description in RNAcentral is "partial 16S ribosomal RNA". It matches the Rfam family "Bacterial small subunit ribosomal RNA", at positions 30 to 507 of the family's 1533-position model. The record is from RNAcentral.